Molecule: small nucleolar RNA, 123 nt
Organism: Cavia aperea (Brazilian guinea pig)
Lineage: Eukaryota; Metazoa; Chordata; Mammalia; Rodentia; Caviidae
Source: Ensembl
CUGGCCUUGAAUCAAGGCCGGCAGCUUCCUGACCCUGUUGGUUUCAAGCAGGAGCCUAAAUGGUCUGUUGGCCAUUUCACAACUUGGGCAGUGAAAUGGUCAAUUCAUUAGAAAGAAACAGCU